CCCCUGUCCAUAAGCCUAUUGAAUUUUAUUUUCUCCCAUUCAUCUGUCUUAUAUCAAUUUGAUUCUAAGUCCAGCUAGAAGGACCAUAGGACAGAAGAAGUUCAUCAUCCCUGGCACUAUAAUGAAAAACAAAUUUUGUUUCCAGAGACUGUCUGCGACCACCUGAGCUCUCUGGACCGCCCACAGGGGCCUGCUGCACUGCCGUGGUCUCAUCAAUUUCGGCUGUUUGGUGCCCAGAUUUUAUUGGCUGUUACAUGUUUUGAACAUCAUGCGUGAACAUAAGAUUACGAGAGGGACCAACACCAG
This 306-nucleotide long non-coding RNA is filed under the name Vulpes vulpes (red fox). RNAcentral describes it as "lncRNA (ENSVVUG00000004844.1)". The record is from RNAcentral. Lineage: Eukaryota; Metazoa; Chordata; Mammalia; Carnivora; Canidae.